AGGACGAACGCUGGCGGCGUGCUUAACACAUGCAAGUCGAACGGAAAGGCCCUGCUUUUGUGGGGUGCUCGAGUGGCGAACGGGUGAGUAACACGUGAGUAACCUGCCCUUGACUUUGGGAUAACUUCAGGAAACUGGGGCUAAUACCGGAUAGGAGCUCCUGCUGCAUGGUGGGGGUUGGAAAGUUUCGGCGGUUGGGGAUGGACUCGCGGCUUAUCAGCUUGUUGGUGGGGUAGUGGCUUACCAAGGCUUUGACGGGUAGCCGGCCUGAGAGGGUGACCGGCCACAUUGGGACUGAGAUACGGCCAGACUCCUACGGGAGCAGCAGUGGGGAAUAUUGCACAAUGGCGGAAGCCUGAUGCAGCAACGCCGCGUGCGGAUGACGCCUCGGUGUAAACCGCUUCGCCUGUGACGAAGACGUGAGUGACGGUAAGUAGGUAAAGAAAGACGACCGGACUAACUAACGUAGCCACGACAGCCGC
This 482-nucleotide ribosomal RNA is filed under the name uncultured soil bacterium. RNAcentral's name for it is "bacterial SSU rRNA". It matches the Rfam family "Bacterial small subunit ribosomal RNA", at positions 26 to 527 of the family's 1533-position model. The record is from RNAcentral.